UGGUGCGGUAGCUUAAAGAGAAAGUUCCUUGUUGAAAACAAGGGUGAUGGGAUCCCCUCGCACUAA
Molecule: transfer RNA, 66 nt
Filed under: Xenostrobus securis
Lineage: Eukaryota; Metazoa; Mollusca; Bivalvia; Mytilida; Modiolidae
Description: tRNA-Phe
Source: RNAcentral